This 253-nucleotide ribosomal RNA is filed under the name uncultured bacterium. Its description in RNAcentral is "partial 16S ribosomal RNA". It matches the Rfam family "Bacterial small subunit ribosomal RNA", at positions 524 to 776 of the family's 1533-position model. The record is from RNAcentral.
UACAGAGGGUGCAAGCGUUGUCCGGAAUCAUUGGGCGUAAAGCGCGCGUAGGUGGCUUCGUAAGUCCGUUGUGAAAGUCAAAGGCUCAACCUUUGAAAGCCGAUGGAUACUGCGGAGCUAGAGUACGGAAGAGGCGAGUGGAAUUCCUGGUGUAGCGGUGGAAUGCGCAGAUAUCAGGAGGAACACCAAUAGCGAAGGCAGCUUACUAGGCUGUAACUGACGCUGAGGCACGAAAGCGUGGGGAGCAAACAGG